UGUUUAAAUAAUUUAAUUAAAAUAUAGGUAUGUGGCAUCUAAAAUAUGUAACAAUUACAUUUUAAACAG
This 69-nucleotide transfer RNA is filed under the name Latreillia valida. RNAcentral describes it as "tRNA-His". The record is from RNAcentral. Lineage: Eukaryota; Metazoa; Arthropoda; Malacostraca; Decapoda; Latreilliidae.